RNAcentral lists this ribosomal RNA (498 nucleotides) under uncultured bacterium. RNAcentral describes it as "partial 16S ribosomal RNA". It matches the Rfam family "Bacterial small subunit ribosomal RNA", at positions 27 to 507 of the family's 1533-position model. The record is from RNAcentral.
GGAUGAACGCUGGCGGCGUGCCUAAUACAUGCAAGUCGAGCGAACAGACGAGGAGCUUGCUCCUCUGACGUUAGCGGCGGACGGGUGAGUAACACGUGGAUAACCUACCUAUAAGACUGGGAUAACUUCGGGAAACCGGAGCUAAUACCGGAUAAUAUAUUGAACCGCAUGGUUCAAUAGUGAAAGACGGUUUCGCUGUCACUUAUAGAUGGAUCCGCGCCGCAUUAGCUAGUUGGUAAGGUAACGGCUUACCAAGGCAACGAUGCGUAGCCGACCUGAGAGGGUGAUCGGCCACACUGGAACUGAGACACGGUCCAGACUCCUACGGGAGGCAGCAGUAGGGAAUCUUCCGCAAUGGGCGAAAGCCUGACGGAGCAACGCCGCGUGAGUGAUGAAGGUCUUCGGAUCGUAAAACUCUGUUAUUAGGGAAGAACAAAUGUGUAAGUAACUAUGCACGUCUUGACGGUACCUAAUCAGAAAGCCACGGCUAACUACGUG